AAAGGAAUUGACGGGGACCCGCACAAGCAGUGGAGUAUGUGGUUUAAUUCGAAGCAACGCGAAGAACCUUACCAGGGCUUGACAUCUACUGAAUCCGCCCGAGAGGGUGGAGUGCCUACGGGAGCAGUAAGACAGGUGGUGCAUGGUUGUCGUCAGCUCGUGUCGUGAGAUGUUGGGUUAAGUCCCGCAACGAGCGCAACCCUUAUCGUUAGUUGCCAUCAUUAAGUUGGGCACUCUAGCGAGACUGCCGUUGACAAAACGGAGGAAGGUGGGGACGACGUCAAAUCAUCAUGCCCCUAAUGUCCUGGGCUACACACGUACUACAAUGGCUGUUAACAGAGGGAAGCGAAGCUGUGAAGUGGAGCAAAUCCCCAAAAGCAGUCUCAGUUCGGAUUGCAGGCUGAAACUCGCCUGUAUGAAGUCGGAAUUGCUAGUAAUCGCGAAUCAUCAUGUCGCGGUGAAUACGUUCCCGGGUCUUGUACACACCGCCCGU
This 493-nucleotide ribosomal RNA is filed under the name uncultured bacterium. RNAcentral's name for it is "bacterial SSU rRNA". It matches the Rfam family "Bacterial small subunit ribosomal RNA", at positions 903 to 1397 of the family's 1533-position model. The record is from RNAcentral.